ACGGAAGGCAGCAGUGGGGAAUAUUGGGCAAUGGGCGAAAGCCUGACCCAGCAACGCCGCGUGAAGGAAGAAGGCCUUCGGUAUGUAAAGCUCUUUAAGCAGAGAAGAUAAUGACGGUAUCUGCAGAAUAAGCACCGGCUAAAUACGUGCCAGCAGCCGCGGUAAUACGUAUGGUGCAAGCGUUAUCCGGAUUUACUGGGUGUAAAGGGAGCGUAGGUGGUUUGGCAAGCCAGAAGUGAAAACCCGGGGCUCAACCCCGUGGAUUGCUUUUGGAACUGUUGAACUAGAGUGCAGGAGGGGUAAGUGGAAUUCCCAGUGUAGCGGUGAAAUGCGUAGAUAUUGGGAGGAACACCAGUGGCGAAGGCGGCCUACUGGACUGUAACUGACACUGAGGCUCGAAAGCGUGGGGAGCAAACAGGAUUAGAUACCCUGGUA
RNAcentral lists this ribosomal RNA (435 nucleotides) under uncultured Lachnospiraceae bacterium. Its description in RNAcentral is "bacterial SSU rRNA". It matches the Rfam family "Bacterial small subunit ribosomal RNA", at positions 341 to 792 of the family's 1533-position model. Lineage: Bacteria; Bacillati; Bacillota; Clostridia; Lachnospirales; Lachnospiraceae. The record is from RNAcentral.